AUGUCAGAUAGGCAGAAGGGCCUGCUUAAUGCUGUCAAUGCUGUAUUUCCAAACUGCCCACAAAGAUUUUGUUUAAGGCACAUUUAUGCAAAUUUUCAAAGAGCUGGAUUUAGAGGUGAAGAUCUGAAAAAAUGCAUGGACAGUGCUAGCUAUUCCUACACAAAGCAUGGUUUUGAUGUAGCCAUGGCCAAUUUGAAGAAUGAGUGUGAGGAUGCAUGGAGGUGGUUAUCUGGUAUUCCAGUACACACAUGGGCUAGGCAUGAAAUGGACACAAAUUGCAAAACAGACCUGGUGGUUAAUAACAUAAGUGAGGUCUUCAAUAAAUAUAUCUUGGAUGUUAGAAACAAACCAAUAGUGACAAUGAUUAAUGGAAUCAAAGACAAGUUGCUAGUCAGGUUUGAUGGAAAAAGAGAAAAUGCAGCAGCUUCUAGAUGGGAAAUAGCUCCAACAUAUGCAGGACAACUGGAGAUGAGCAAGAAGUUUCAAAGAGAUUGCAAAGCAAUUAGGGCAGGGCCUAACCUGUGGCAAGUAAGCAGUGGGCCAAAGACCUAUGCUCUGAACCUUGAGGAGCACACUUGUGGAUGCAGGAAGUGGGACAUGUCAGGUUUGCCAUGCAACCAUGCUUGCAGUGCAAUUUACAAGGCCAAGAUGCAACCUGAGGAUUUUGUAAGUCCUUUCUUGAGGAAAGCAAUGUAUUUGGAGGCAUACAAACCAAUAGUGUAUCCAGUUCCUGGAGAAGAUGCUUGGGUCAAGUCAGGAAAACCUGAUAUUGAGCCUCCUGUAUUCCACAAAGAGGACCAGAGUGGAAGAAAAGAAGAAAAGAGGAAGAAGGGAAGGUUUGAAGUGCCUAAACCAAAAGAUACCUCUAGGAUGGCUACAAUCAGAUGUGGCAACUGUAGGUUAAUGGGCCACAGGUUUACUAAUUGUGGACAACCUUUGAGGCCUGAUCUGCAGAUGAGGAAAAAUAGAAGCAUGGAAAAGAGAAGGCAAAAGGCAGAAUCCUACACUCCACCUGAUGCUACUGCGGCUCCUAUGGCACCAAGAGCUGCUCCUAUGGCAUCAAGAGCUGCUCCUAGGGCACCAAGAGCUGCUCCUAGGGUACCAAGAGCUGCUCCUAGGGCACCAAGGGCCGCUUUCUUAGCACCAAGGCCAGCAGCUAGGCCUCCAUGUGGAGAAAGGACUUCUUUUGCUGCUGGUACUUCUACAUCUACAUCAACUGUUGCUGCUGCUGCUAAAAAAUAG
RNAcentral lists this ribosomal RNA (1242 nucleotides) under Triticum aestivum (bread wheat). RNAcentral describes it as "partial small subunit ribosomal RNA". Lineage: Eukaryota; Viridiplantae; Streptophyta; Magnoliopsida; Poales; Poaceae. The record is from RNAcentral.